AAGUUUUCUCUCUUUCUCUCUCUAAAUUAUCGAACGUAUUCUUGUGAGUAUAUUUUGAGUGUUGCUAUACGGUGCGGGUUUCUGUCAGCACUAUACCGAAAUUCAGUCAGAAGUACGGUUAUUUUGAGGUAAGGGGUAUUAUUUUCUUCUUAAAUGAUAUUUUUUCUUCAAUAUCAUUAUGCCGAAGUAUUGGUGAACUUUUUUAUCAAAUUUGGAACUUGUUGUGUCGGGGUUACUAUUCACGUAUACGGCACUAUUCACGUAUACGACACUAUUCACGAAUACGGCACUAUUCACCGAAAAAUAAAAAUUUUUCUUUUUGUCCAAAAUAUCUAUUCUGGAUACUAGCUUUGAUUGUAUCCAUGUUUUGAUCAUUCUUGAAUUUUACACCAAUAUGAUUAUUUUCGAAGUAUUUUUGGACAUGGGUAAAACAAAGUACGAAUCCUUAAUCCUUAAUCCUUGUCAUUUUGUUUCACUGGAUUCGUUUCUUUAAAAAUGUUUUUCAUCAUCCUCAGUCCUAAAUGGUGAUAUAAAUGAAUAUCUUUGGCCUGUAGUGCAAAGAUGAACGAUUAACUGAUGAAUAUCUUUGGCCUGUAGUGCAAAGAUGAACAGGUGUUGAGAUGAACAUGACCAACUGGUGAUACAAAUGAAUAUCUUUGGCCUGUAGUGCAAAGAUGAUUAAAGAUGUAUAUUGAUUGUUAUUACAGGGAUAAACUAUUGAUGAUGGACUUUUAAACCUUAGAAGACAGUAGAAUUCUUUCUCUACGUGACUCUUCUAAUGGAUUGCUGUUUCCGCUGCAUUUGUUGAUCUAAAACUUGUUGUCUAUUGUAUUCUAUUAGAUUUUUCCCUGUUGAAGACUAACGAUAAUUUGUUGUAUAUUAUCUUAGUCAUAAUAUUCUUUACUGGGCUAGUUGAGCUCACCCUUUUCCUUUUUGUUCCAUUUUUCUUCUCAGGAGGUGAGAACAUAGCAGGAUCGAGUCGGGGUAUGGAGUGAUGGUUCUAGGAAGAUGUUUUAGCUGUCCUCACUAUUUCUGUAAAAUAGUGUAUGAAUAAUUAAUGAGGACUUAUUUGGGUG
RNAcentral lists this long non-coding RNA (1076 nucleotides) under Panax ginseng (ginseng). RNAcentral describes it as "long non-coding RNA (PGIN_LNC004908)". The record is from RNAcentral. Lineage: Eukaryota; Viridiplantae; Streptophyta; Magnoliopsida; Apiales; Araliaceae.